CAGCAGCCGCGGUAAGACAGAGGAUGCAAGCGUUAUCCGGAAUGAUUGGGCGUAAAGCGUCUGUAGGUGGCUUUUCAAGUCCGCCGUCAAAUCCCAGGGCUCAACCCUGGACAGGCGGUGGAAACUACCAAGCUGGAGUACGGUAGGGGCAGAGGGAAUUUCCGGUGGAGCGAUGAAAUGCGUUGAGAUCGGAAAGAACGCCAACGGCGAAAGCACUCUGCUGGGCCGACACUGACACUGAGAGACGAAAGCUAGGGGAGCAAAUGGGAUUAGAUACCCCCGUAGUCCCUGUCUCUUAUAC
This 301-nucleotide ribosomal RNA is filed under the name uncultured bacterium. Its description in RNAcentral is "partial 16S ribosomal RNA". It matches the Rfam family "Bacterial small subunit ribosomal RNA", at positions 509 to 807 of the family's 1533-position model. The record is from RNAcentral.